CGCCUCUUGCAAAAGCUAAAAAUAAGAGGUCCCGCCUGCCCUGUGACUAUUUGUUUAACGGCCGCGGUAUUUUGACCGUGCGAAGGUAGCGCAAUCACUUGUCUUUUAAAUGGAGACCCGUAUGAAUGGCAUAACGAGGGCUUAACUGUCUCCUCUUUCAAGUCAAUGAAAUUGAUCUUUCCGUGCAGAAGCGGGAAUAUAAACAUAAGACGAGAAGACCCUAUGGAGCUUUAGACACUACAGCAGCCCACGUUAAGCACCCUGAAUAAAGGACUAAACCAAGUGGGCCCUGCUUUGAUGUCUUUGGUUGGGGCGACCGCGGGGAAUUAAAUAACCCCCAUGUGGAACGGGAAUACUUUUCCUACAACUAAGAGCUACAGCUCUAGUAAACAGAACUUCUGACCAGCAAGAUCCGGCAAUGCCGAUCAACGGACCGAGUUACCCUAGGGAUAACAGCGCAAUCCUCUUUUAGAGCCCAUAUCGACAAGGGGGUUUACGACCUCGAUGUUGGAUCAGGACAUCCUAAUGGUGCAGCCGCUAUUAAGGGUUCGUUUGUUCAACGAUUAAAGUCCUACGU
Molecule: ribosomal RNA, 577 nt
Filed under: Psychrolutes paradoxus (tadpole sculpin)
Lineage: Eukaryota; Metazoa; Chordata; Actinopteri; Perciformes; Psychrolutidae
Description: partial 16S ribosomal RNA
Rfam family: Bacterial large subunit ribosomal RNA
Source: RNAcentral